Molecule: long non-coding RNA, 583 nt
Filed under: Sinocyclocheilus anshuiensis
Lineage: Eukaryota; Metazoa; Chordata; Actinopteri; Cypriniformes; Cyprinidae
Description: lncRNA (ENSSANG00000003217.1)
Source: RNAcentral
CGACCAAUCAAAUAAGAGAAAGAAUAUCACUGCAGGUGUCAAACGACCAAUCAAAUAAGAGAAAGAAUAUCACUGCACGUGUCAAACGACCAAUCAAAUUAAAUAACUGCUCCAUUUUCACUCAGACUCCUCAGAGUUUCCAAAUGUCAUUUUGAACCUAAAAUAGACAACAAAUGAAAUGAAAGUAAAUAUUAUCUGUUUAAAGUAAAAUCUGUGAUUAUUCUUGCUGUAAUCUACGAAACGGUACGAAUAAGAUUACUUACUACGCCCCCUCCAUUUCCGUAUUGACAACACCAAGAGCGCCAACAAACGAGUUUAACGGACUGUCAUUUUUCGUUCACUUGCCUGAAACCACCGUUCACGACGAUAUCGCGUUCAGGUCGGCCGUGGCUUGCACGAGGACAGAAGAAACCGGAACGGUUUACUUCAGGAUUCCCCUCACGAAGACGUUUAAUCGGCAUCAAAUGGUUGGAUAUUGGCAUCGCCUGCAGCUCUCAAAGCCAUGCUGUCUGAUGGGGGAGGCUGACGAGCGUACGGCAUUACAUAAGACCUCAAAUAAAGCAACCUCUCUGCUGCAAGCGAC